Small nuclear RNA from Echinops telfairi (small Madagascar hedgehog), 158 nucleotides. Its record names the gene U1. It matches the Rfam family "U1 spliceosomal RNA". Rfam says of the family: U1 is a small nuclear RNA (snRNA) component of the spliceosome (involved in pre-mRNA splicing). Its 5' end forms complementary base pairs with the 5' splice junction, thus defining the 5' donor site of an intron. There are significant differences in sequence and secondary structure between metazoan and yeast U1 snRNAs, the latter being much longer (568 nucleotides as compared to 164 nucleotides in human). Lineage: Eukaryota; Metazoa; Chordata; Mammalia; Afrosoricida; Tenrecidae. The record is from Ensembl.
AUGCCACCCUGGCAGGGGAGAGGCCAUGAUCAGGAAGGUGGUUUUCCCAGGGCGAGGCUCACCCAUUGCACUGUAGGUGUGUUGACCCCUGCGAUUUCCCCAAAUGCAGGAAGCUUGACUGCGUAAUUUGUGGUACUGGGGGACUGCGCUCUCCCCGG